This 828-nucleotide ribosomal RNA is filed under the name uncultured bacterium. Its description in RNAcentral is "bacterial SSU rRNA". It matches the Rfam family "Bacterial small subunit ribosomal RNA", at positions 25 to 866 of the family's 1533-position model. The record is from RNAcentral.
CAAGACGAACGCUGGCGGCGCGCCUAACACAUGCAACUCGAACGAGCGAGAGAGAGCUUGCUUUCUCGAGCGAGUGGCGAACGGGUGAGUAACGCGUGAGGAACCUGCCUCAAAGAGGGGGACAACAGUUGGAAACGACUGCUAAUACCGCAUAAGCCCACAGGUCGGCAUCGACCAGAGGGAAAAGGAGCAAUCCGCUUUGAGAUGGCCUCGCGUCCGAUUAGCUAGUUGGUGAGGUAACGGCCCACCAAGGCAACGAUCGGUAGCCGGACUGAGAGGUUGAACGGCCACAUUGGGACUGAGACACGGCCCAGACUCCUACGGGAGGCAGCAGUGGGGAAUAUUGCACAAUGGGGGAAACCCUGAUGCAGCGACGUCGCGUGGAGGAAGAAGGUCUUCGGAUUGUAAACUCCUGUUGUUGAGGAAGAUAAUGACGGUACUCAACAAGGAAGUGACGGCUAACUACGUGCCAGCAGCCGCGGUAAAACGUAGGUCACAAGCGUUGUCCGGAAUUACUGGGUGUAAAGGGAGCGCAGGCGGGAAGACAAGUUGGAAGUGAAAUCUAUGGGCUCAACCCAUAAUCUGCUUUCAAAACUGUUUUUCUUGAGUAGUGCAGAGGUAGGCGGAAUUCCCGGUGUAGCGGUGGAAUGCGUAGAUAUCGGGAGGAACACCAGUGGCGAAGGCGGCCUACUGGGCACCAACUGACGCUGAGGCUCGAAAGUGUGGGUAGCAAACAGGAUUAGAUACCCUGGUAGUCCACACCGUAAACGAUGAUUAUUAGGUGUUGGAGGAUUGACCCCUUCAGUGCCGCAGUUAACACAAUAAGUA